AUGGUUUUGGAGGACGAAAGCAGCGACGACCAUUCUAGCCCCCCGUACAUGCAUUCUUCCUCCACAGACGGUCUGAACGAGGUUCCUUUCACCAUUGAAGAUCCAGAUUACAAGGGGCUUGAGCUGGAUGUGAUGUGUCCAUGUGAGAAGCACGGCAUGGCAUCUGAGAGGCUUGUUGCCUUUGAAGGAACAGACACAGGCAGGAGGUUUUUAGCAUGUGCACAGUCGGAAGGUAGCAAUUGUGGCUUUGUUGAAUGGGUUGAUCACCAGUGGCCCCCAACAAUGCAGAAUGCAUUGUUGAAGCUAUGGGCAAUGGUUGAAGAUGCCAAAAGUGCUAGGGUGAAUGACAAUCUUGAGAAUUCUUUCACUAUCCACCAUCUGACAGAAGAGAAGAACAAGCUGGAGGCCAACUAUGACAAGCUAGUCCAAGAUGUGCAUGAGCUGAUGAACUUCCAGGAAGAUAAGGUGGUGGAUUUCAGGCAUCUGCAGUCUGCCAUUAUAUAUCAGCAGGAGGUAAGAAAAGAACUGACUGAUGAUAUGAAGGCAAAGAUGGCAAAGAAAGAUGCAGAGACCCAGCAACUUACUCAGAAGUAUGAGGUGCUGCUCAACCUGACAAGAGCUCAAGCAACAGUCAUUCAGAACUUGAAGUUGAACAAAAUGAAAGAGAAGCAAGUGCUUACUGAAGCUAGUAUGAAUUUGGAGCUGAAGAAUGCAGAGCUAACUAAGUGUCAGGAGAAGCUCACCCAAGAGAAGCUAGAGUUGAAGCUUCAGGUUGUUGAUCUGCUUAAGGGAAAUAAAAAGCAUAUUGAAGAGAAGUGGCAGUUAGAGUUUCAGAAUGAAAAGUUGAAGGAGAAGUUCAGGGGGAUUCAAGCCAUCUUGGAGAAGUGA
RNAcentral lists this ribosomal RNA (888 nucleotides) under Triticum aestivum (bread wheat). Its description in RNAcentral is "partial small subunit ribosomal RNA". Lineage: Eukaryota; Viridiplantae; Streptophyta; Magnoliopsida; Poales; Poaceae. The record is from RNAcentral.